GACAGAGGCCUCAAGCGUUAGGCGGAAUCACUGGGCUUAAAGCGUGUGUAGGCGGAUCGUUAAGUGUCUUGUGAAAUCCCACGGCUCACCCGUGGAACUGCUGGGCAUACUGGCGAUCUUGAGUCCGGAAGAGGUGAGUGGAACUCCUAGUGUAGAGGUGGAAUUCGUAGAUAUUAGGAAGAACACCAGUGGCGAAGGCGGCUCACUGGUCCGGUACUGACGCUGAGGUGCGAAAGCGUGGGGAGCAAACAGG
RNAcentral lists this ribosomal RNA (253 nucleotides) under uncultured bacterium. RNAcentral describes it as "partial 16S ribosomal RNA". It matches the Rfam family "Bacterial small subunit ribosomal RNA", at positions 524 to 776 of the family's 1533-position model. The record is from RNAcentral.